UGGGGUGGGGAGAUGACUCAUGGCUGAGCUGGAGUAAUGCGAUAAGUGUCGCUUGGACAGAGUUUUUUAAAACGAUUUUUUCGGUGCUUUAGUCCUUAGAAGAUGGGAACCGAAUCUCUUGGCUUUCAAUCUUUAAUUUGUUGAUUUAGAUUGAUGGUGAGAUAUGGUCCACUGUAAAUAGAUUAGUUCAAUUUUAGCAAUAUUCUUUAGAUUAGAUAAAUAUCUUACUAUGAAGAUUGCUGGUUAUAAUUGUUUAAUUUAAGAUUUGCUUAGGGAUGGCAAUAGAUUGGGUAUGAGUUACUUGCCCCAUAUUUACCUUGAGGUGGGGUGGGUAGAAUCUCAAGAC
RNAcentral lists this long non-coding RNA (346 nucleotides) under Phoenix dactylifera (date palm). RNAcentral describes it as "long non-coding RNA (PDAC_LNC006956)". Lineage: Eukaryota; Viridiplantae; Streptophyta; Magnoliopsida; Arecales; Arecaceae. The record is from RNAcentral.